RNAcentral lists this long non-coding RNA (284 nucleotides) under Mytilus galloprovincialis (Mediterranean mussel). Lineage: Eukaryota; Metazoa; Mollusca; Bivalvia; Mytilida; Mytilidae. The record is from RNAcentral.
UUACAUUAUCUCAAGACUUUGCAAUUUCAAGACUUAAACACAAAGAUAUUACAUAAUCUUGGAUAGGGGUGGAAUCAGAAAAAAUGAAGCAAAAGUGUGACAUGGGGGGUCCAAUUUCAAACUUAAUAUUUUGUAUUUCUUUUUGUCUUGCCCUAUUACCAAUACUUUAAAUUUUAUAAUUCCAAAGUUUCAGGCCGAACGAAACAGACACAUUGAAUAAUCUUAAAUUUUAAUAGCAUACAUCUCAAAAAUAUUUAACAGAAACCAUACUACUUAAAAACAAG